GGUAAGUGGCCGAUGAAGGCAAUAGAUUGUAAAUCUAUUUAUGUGAGCUGUCACCUUAUCU
This 61-nucleotide transfer RNA is filed under the name Hymenocera picta. RNAcentral's name for it is "tRNA-Tyr". Lineage: Eukaryota; Metazoa; Arthropoda; Malacostraca; Decapoda; Palaemonidae. The record is from RNAcentral.